UUACGUUAGGUAAGAAUGUGACNNNNNNNNNNUACACUUGAUAGUGAUGUGCCCUGGCACUACUCUGAUACAGUGCAGUCUGCCUCCUCAGCUGCCUGACAGUGGAAGUUUAGCCUACCCUGAUCCAGAAAUCUGAGAUGAUCUGCAUCUGAAGAUAAGAUUUAUCCUAUGGCACGUUAACGGCACAAGAAUAGAGACAAUCACCGCCCCAGCUCAUAUCAAAUCAGCCUCAAAGCAGCUUUAGGACUUUGGGAGGAAGCUUUGCUGCUAAAUUCACUAUCUGUGAAGAGGAGGUGUAGAGUCAGAGUUAAGAGGAAACUCCAAUUUGAUUGGGAUCGCCGAUACAAUUUAUUUUAAAUGAGUUCAACAUUUUGUUCCUACAAACCUAAGAUAAUAGUAAAGCCUUGAUAAUACACUGACAAUUGAAGCCCCUCCUUUCAGCCGACACUCUCACCUGAGACCACGGACGAGAAGGAGGGGGCCUGGGUUUCAGUUCUUCCUACCCUCCUGCCUGCCACCCUAGUGCAUCUGAAAAGGAGGCAGUGACGAGGAAGAGAGACCGGCCGGUCCCGGCGGGAGGCGCGGCCGCCCCAGCGCCCGGGGGUCGUUCCCUCGCCUCCUCCGGGCGGCGGGAAGGAAGAGGCGGCGGCGGCCGGAGUCGGGGCGGGCGGCCUGAGGUGAGAGCCCGGCCGGCCCCGCUGGGA
Molecule: long non-coding RNA, 704 nt
Filed under: Capra hircus (goat)
Lineage: Eukaryota; Metazoa; Chordata; Mammalia; Artiodactyla; Bovidae
Description: lncRNA (ENSCHIG00010002881.1)
Source: RNAcentral